GACAGAGGCCCCGAGCGUUAGGCGGAAUCACUGGGCUUAAAGCGUGUGUAGGCGGAUCGUUAAGUGUCUUGUGAAAUCCCACGGCUCACCCGUGGAACCGCUGGGCAUACUGGCGAUCUUGGGCCAUUCAGGGGCAGCUGGAACAAGCGGUGGAGCGGUGAAAUGCGUAGAUAUCGCUUGGAACGCCGAAGGUGAAAACAGGCUGCUGGGAAUGUGCCGACGCUGAGACACGAAAGCCAGGGGAGCGAACGGG
RNAcentral lists this ribosomal RNA (253 nucleotides) under uncultured bacterium. Its description in RNAcentral is "partial 16S ribosomal RNA". It matches the Rfam family "Bacterial small subunit ribosomal RNA", at positions 524 to 776 of the family's 1533-position model. The record is from RNAcentral.